CGCACUUUGGGGAAAGCGGAGCUGGACCCCGCCCCACACGGCUGCCUGCUCCUCCGCUGUGCGUGCGAGGGACGUCGGGGGCGGCGCCGCUGCAGUUGCCCCUGGUAACGGGGGUGGCAGCAAGAGGAGGAGGAGGAGGAGGGACUCGGCGGGAGGAUGGGCUUGCUCUCAAUUUUGCGCAAAUUGAAAAGUGCACCAGACCAGGAGGUCAGAAUCCUUCUCCUGGGCUUGGACAAUGCCGGGAAGACCACUCUUCUGAAGCAGCUUGCGUCUGAGGACAUCAGCCACAUCACCCCCACGCAGGGUUUUAACAUCAAAAGUGUACAGUCACAAGGUUUUAAAUUGAAUGUUUGGGACAUUGGUGGACAAAGGAAAAUCAGACCUUACUGGAGGAAUUAUUUUGAAAAUACUGAUGUUCUUAUAUAUGUAAUUGACAGUGCAGACAGAAAAAGAUUUGAAGAGACGGGUCAGGAACUAGCUGAAUUACUGGAGGAAGAAAAGCUAAGCUGUGUGCCGGUGCUCAUCUUCGCUAACAAGCAGGACUUGCUCACGGCAGCCCCUGCCUCGGAAAUUGCAGAAGGACUGAACCUGCACACCAUUCGAGACCGCGUCUGGCAGAUCCAGUCCUGCUCAGCUCUCACAGGAGAGGGCAUUCAGGUCUGUAGCUGGGAGAACUUUGCCACUCUACCCCUCCCAGACAUCUGGAGAAAGACUGCCCCCCAGCUAGGCUCCUCCCACUGAAGUCCCCUUCCUGCCUCCACAACCAACACCCAGGAGAAAGCCACCCCUUGCCCUCCACCCCCUGCUCCCGGAUCUUGCAGCUGGGACGGCAUGAACUGGGUCUGCAAAAAUGUCAAUGCAAAGAAGAAAUAGAAUCUAGAGCAAUGGAGACACAGAAGAUGCAGGAACUGAAUUCUGUCCCGAAAACCACUAAUUUGCUGCUUUCUGACCAAAUGUUUUUCCAUCAGUGUACGACUACAGCUGUUUGAAGAGAGGGAACAACACAGUUUAAAAAGAAUCCCCAUUCCAGCAGUAGAUUUAACUGAUCUCUGAGGUUCAGUAUCAUUUUUCAAAUAAAGGAAUUAUAUUAUUUCCUCUGCAUAA
Erinaceus europaeus (western European hedgehog) is the source of this 1104-nucleotide RNA transcript. It is a transcript of the gene named ADP ribosylation factor like GTPase 3, with no coding region annotated. The transcript has 7 exons. NCBI's taxonomy places the organism in Eukaryota, Metazoa, Chordata, Mammalia, Eulipotyphla, Erinaceidae. The record is from RefSeq and is a predicted model, not a curated record.